AGGGCUCCGGAGUAGCCCUUUCCUUCUCGCUUCGUCAGCACCGAGAGUGCCCUCGUUGGGAACGGGGGCCUUAGCGGUCUCGUCAUUUACGAAGCGGAUGGGCUCCUGGACUCUGGGGCCUCGAACUGUUUCGAAGACUGAUGGGCAAAAGCCCCUGCAGCCCAGGGGCCGGCGGUUAGGGGGCUUGGCCGGGGCUGGAGUUUGGCCGUCGGAGCUCGGCUGGUCAAAGCUUGCCGCUGGUCCCCGGCUAUCCGCAGGUUCCAAAGAGGGGAUGAUUCCUUUACCUGGGUCCCAGAUUGAUGGAACAAAGCUGAAGAUGACUGUGGUUGACAAACAACAUGAAGAGAAAUAAACCUUACUUGACAAAGGAGCUGUUGUAGCCACAGGAUGGCAGAAACUCCGUCAUCAUGGUCCUUGAAUAAGAUGGCCUCCCCAUCUG
Long non-coding RNA from Balaenoptera musculus (blue whale), 439 nucleotides. RefSeq lists it as uncharacterized. The transcript has 3 exons. The record is from RefSeq and is a predicted model, not a curated record. Lineage: Eukaryota; Metazoa; Chordata; Mammalia; Artiodactyla; Balaenopteridae.